Molecule: ribosomal RNA, 450 nt
Filed under: uncultured bacterium
Lineage: Bacteria
Description: partial 16S ribosomal RNA
Rfam family: Bacterial small subunit ribosomal RNA
Source: RNAcentral
GUGGGGAAUUUUGGACAAUGGGCGCAAGCCUGAUCCAGCAAUGCCGCGUGUGUGAAGAAGGCCUUCGGGUUGUAAAGCACUUUUGGCAGGAAAGAAAUAGUGCGUGCUAAUACCAUGCGCGAAUGACGGUACCUGCAGAAUAAGCACCGGCUAACUACGUGCCAGCAGCCGCGGUAAGACGUAGGGUGCAAGCGUUAAUCGGAAUUACUGGGCGUAAAGCGUGCGCAGGCGGUUUUGUAAGACAGGUGUGAAAUCCCCGGGCUCAACCUGGGAACUGCACUUGUGACUGCGAGGCUAGAGUGUGUCAGAGGGAGGUGGAAUUCCGCGUGUAGCAGUGAAAUGCGUAGAGAUGCGGAGGAACACCGAUGGCGAAGGCAGCCUCCUGGGAUAACACUGACGCUCAGGCACGAAAGCGUGGGGAGCAAACAGGAUUAGAAACCCGAGUAGUCC